GCCGCCCCCAUGAGCCGCCUGUAGGGUCCGCGCUGCCGCACCCCUGCGCCCCAGGGGCUCGGGAUUGGUUAGUUUUGGGUUUCCCCCCCUUUUUUCUUUUUUUCCCCUUACAGUCUAUUUUUGUACACUUCGCUAUAAAACCAUGGUGCUGGGGAAGGUGAAGAGUCUGACGAUAAGCUUUGACUGUCUGAAUGACAGCAAUGUCCCCGUGUACUCUAGCGGGGAUACAGUCUCAGGAAGGGUCAGUCUAGAAGUAACUGGGGAAAUUAGAGUGAAAUCCCUUAAAAUACAUGCGAGGGGGCACGCUAAAGUGCGUUGGACUGAAUCGAGGAAUGCUGGAUCCAACACUGCCUAUACUCAGAACUACACGGAAGAAGUGGAAUAUUUCAACCAUAAAGACAUCCUGAUCGGCCAAGAGAGAGAUGAUGACAAUUCAGAAGAAGGCCUUCACACCAUCCAUUCGGGAAGGCAUGAAUAUGCAUUCAGCUUUGAGCUUCCACAAACACCACUUGCUACCUCAUUCGAAGGCAGACAUGGCAGUGUGCGCUAUUGGGUGAAAGCCGAAUUGCAUAGGCCUUGGUUUCUACCAGUAAAAUUAAAGAAGGAAUUUACAGUCUUUGAACAUAUAGAUAUCAACACUCCUUCAUUACUGUCACCCCAAGCAGGCACAAAAGAAAAAACUCUCUGUUGCUGGUUUUGUACCUCAGGCCCAAUAUCCUUAAGUGCCAAAAUUGAAAGGAAGGGCUACACCCCAGGUGAAUCAAUUCAGAUCUUUGCUGAGAUUGAGAACUGCUCUUCCCGUGUGGUGGUGCCAAAGGCAGCCAUUUACCAAACACAGGCAUUUUAUGCCAAAGGGAAAAUGAAAGAAGUCAAACAGCUUGUUGCCAACCUGCGUGGGGAGUCCUUGUCAUCUGGCAAAACAGAAACCUGGAAUGGCAAACAGUUGAAAAUUCCACCUGUUUCUCCUUCAAUCCUUGACUGUAGUAUAAUCCGUGUGGAGUAUUCACUGAUGGUAUAUGUGGAUAUUCCUGGCGCCAUGGAUUUAUUUCUUAACUUACCACUGGUCAUUGGCACCAUUCCUCUACACCCAUUUGGUAGCAGAACUUCAAGUGUAAGCAGCCAGUGUAGCAUGAACAUGAAUUGGCUUGGUCUGACACUGCCCGAAAGACCAGAAGCACCUCCCAGCUAUGCAGAAGUGGUGACAGAGGAACAGCGACAGUCCAGCCUUGCACCCUUAGGUGUUUGUGAUGACUUUGAGAGAGCACUUCCAGGACCACUGUUUGCAUACAUCCAGGAGUUUCGUUUUCUGCCUCCACCCCUCUAUUCAGAAAUUGAUCCAAAUCCAGAUCAACCCACAGACGACAGACCAUCUUGCCCUUCUCGUUGAAGGAAUCCAUGAGAAGCUGACUUGGGUUUGGAUCAUACCUCCUGCAUUAAAGGUCAAGGCAUCAUAGUGGAGAGCACACUUUCGAAGAAACCUGGACUUUACCUGCAUAUGCACAUGCUCAGAAUUGUCCUUGUAGGCUGAUCAUGUAUCACCUCUUCAGCUUGGAUCCUAUUGUGGAUUUAUUUACAAACAUCAAAUGCCUUCAAGCCAAUCCUUCUUGCUGUAUGUUUUGCAGCCUACUGUAGUAGAUAAGCAACAGA
Molecule: RNA transcript, 1647 nt
Organism: Cinclus cinclus
Lineage: Eukaryota; Metazoa; Chordata; Aves; Passeriformes; Cinclidae
Gene: ARRDC3
Gene name: arrestin domain containing 3
Exons: 9
Source: RefSeq, a predicted model, not a curated record